This 660-nucleotide ribosomal RNA is filed under the name uncultured Bacteroidota bacterium. RNAcentral's name for it is "bacterial SSU rRNA". It matches the Rfam family "Bacterial small subunit ribosomal RNA", at positions 50 to 697 of the family's 1533-position model. The record is from RNAcentral. Lineage: Bacteria; Pseudomonadati; Bacteroidota.
AACACAUGCAAGUCGAGGGGCAGCACGUGGUUUGCUUGCAAACCAUGGUGGCGACCGGCGCACGGGUGAGUAACGCGUAUCCAACCUGCCCCUUUCCCCGGCACAGCCCGCGGAAACGCGGAUUAAUGCCGGAUGGCGUUGCGUGACGGCAUCAGAGCGCGACUAAAGGGUUUCUCCGGAAAGGGAUGGGGGUGCGUCCGAUUAGCUAGACGGCGGGGUAACGGCCCACCGUGGCGACGAUCGGUAGGGGCCCUGAGAGGGGGGUCCCCCACAUUGGGACUGAGACACGGCCCAAACUCCUACGGGAGGCAGCAGUGAGGAAUAUUGGUCAAUGGGCGGAAGCCUGAACCAGCCAAGUAGCGUGGGGGAAGACGGCCCUAUGGGUUGUAAACCCCUUUUAUGCGGGGACAAAGUACGCGUCGUGACGCGUUUUGCGGGUACCGCAUGAAUAAGGACCGGCUAAUUCCGUGCCAGCAGCCGCGGUAAUACGGAAGGUCCGGGCGUUAUCCGGAUUCAUUGGGUUUAAAGGGAGCGUAGGCCGCCCCUUAAGCGUGCCGUGAAAAGCAGCGGCUCAACCGCUGUCGUGCGGCGCGAACUGGGGGGCUUGAGUGCGCGGGAGGCAGGCGGAAUUCGUGGUGUAGCGGUGAAAUGCAUAGAUAU